UGACAAUGAGACCUGUAACAUUUG
RNAcentral lists this non-coding RNA (24 nucleotides) under Macaca fascicularis (crab-eating macaque). RNAcentral also lists the same sequence under 1 other name. The record is from RNAcentral. Lineage: Eukaryota; Metazoa; Chordata; Mammalia; Primates; Cercopithecidae.